This 324-nucleotide long non-coding RNA is filed under the name Rosa chinensis. Its description in RNAcentral is "sRNA RchiOBHm_Chr2g0129191". Lineage: Eukaryota; Viridiplantae; Streptophyta; Magnoliopsida; Rosales; Rosaceae. The record is from RNAcentral.
UGUGCCAAAUUGAUUUGAUUUCUCUCUUCUAAUUGGUUCAUGGGAUUGAUUGGUUUUUGGGUAUUUUAGUCCGAGUUUGAGGCAAGUGGUUGGUGGUAAACUGUUCUAGGUUUUUGUAUCUGGGAGUGGUUAAUUUAUGGUGUUCUUCUAUUUCAUUGGAGUGAAAUUUGCUUAACCCUUUGAACUUAACUAGAAUUGAUAGGCCAGAGGAGGGUUGGCCCUAAUUACUAUUAUCUAAUGAGGUCAAAAGAAAAUAUUGUGUUUCAUUGUAAUCUAAUAAAAUUAGACAAAAUUUACUUGCGGACUUUAUUAGGUAGCAUUUGA